Molecule: transfer RNA, 72 nt
Filed under: Heterocephalus glaber (naked mole-rat)
Lineage: Eukaryota; Metazoa; Chordata; Mammalia; Rodentia; Bathyergidae
Rfam family: tRNA
About the family: Transfer RNA (tRNA) molecules are approximately 80 nucleotides in length. Their secondary structure includes four short double-helical elements and three loops (D, anti-codon, and T loops).
Source: Rfam by way of RNAcentral
AGGAGUGUAUCUUAGUGUUAGAGCAUUUGCCUAACAUGCACAAGGCCCUGGGUUCAAUUCCCAGAACUGCAA